Cucumis sativus (cucumber) is the source of this 2755-nucleotide long non-coding RNA. RefSeq lists it as uncharacterized. The record is from RefSeq and is a predicted model, not a curated record. The transcript has 2 exons. NCBI's taxonomy places the organism in Eukaryota, Viridiplantae, Streptophyta, Magnoliopsida, Cucurbitales, Cucurbitaceae.
CUUGUUUAUGCCUCUCUCUCUCUCUCUCUCUCUCUCUCUCUCUCUCUCCUACACUUCUUUUCAAUAUAUCAGUACUCACUUCAUCACCUGAUUUUUGCAGCAGAUGGAGCACAGAGAAAUAAUAGAGAGUUAAAAGAGGACCCCUUUGCUUUGAUUGCUCAAAUCAUGAGAUAUUUUUGUCUGUGUGUUUGUGAAGAAUUAAGGUCAAAGAAAAGAUGGUGUUUGGAAUGAAGUUUGAUCCAAGAUCCCUCCUCCACUCCCUUUCAUCCACAUCUCUUCUACUUUCGUUUUCUUUUUAUAUAUAUACAUGUAUAUAUAUUAAUUCUCUCAUUAAUGUUUACCCUAUAAAUUCUUUCCCUAGUUAGAACAAUAAUUAACAAUAAAGGGAAGAAGGUUUUUCUUUUUCUUUUUCCCUUUUUUUGUUUUGUUUGGGGUUUCAUUUAGCUCUCUAAAUGAUCACAUGCACAUAAAAACCGAAUAGUGUUUUGAUAAGAAUGAAGAAUGAGAGUGAGAUAUUCCAUUUUGACAUCUUUAGAUUUGUCUUCUUUUGUGGGUAGGAAAAAUGAUUUUUUUUUUUCAUAGUAUUGUAGGAGGUAAGGAUAUUCACAAAUAGUUUCUUGAUUACUAACAAAUAUGUGUCAAUUGAACUAUAGGUUCCAUCUUUAUCUUCCUAAAAAACUUGCAUGUACUCUCACCUAUACACUACUUAGAGGCUUAACCCUACUCUAAGGUUUUCAUCAACACUCCCACUCAAAACCAUGACAUAUGCUUUUUCUUAUGCUUUUCUGUACAUGUAGGUUUUUUUUUUCAACUUCCUUUUGAGUAUUUCUCUUUGGGUAUAUUUGUUCAAUUUUGGUACUAUGUUAGGGUUUUGUAGGUAGUCAUAUAUAGUAUAUAUAAAGUUUGUUAUGGAUCUCGGACCAGGCUUCAUUCCUCACACCAAUCUUUUCAACCCUACAAACGCCACUUUACUGUAGAAUAAACGACGCUAUAGAGUACAUAACACACAAAUUAACGGUAAUAGAUAGAAAAUCGAACCUCCAACGUCGAGAUUGAUAGUAUAAGCUUACCGACGAAAAUAAGGUUAUCUUCUAAUUUUCUUGGAUAAGUUUUAUACUCAUUUAGUUAAAUGAUAAUAAAAAAAUCAUGAUGGUAGAAAAAAAAUUCAUAAAAUUGUUCUCUUCAUGCUUUAAUAAUUCAAGUAUGCUCUCCAAUAUUACUUAACAAGUUUAUUUAUUUAUUUACUUUUGUUACUAACUACAUCAACCAUAGAUUUGAUAUAGGCUUAGAAGUUCGAACCCUCUAAAGGUUUUUAGAGAUCUGCCACUGACAAUAGGUUUUUGGUUCAAAGUAUUUAGAUUUUUUUAAUUUAAGUGUUAGUUUAUAGAAAUUUGCUUCUAGUUAUGAGGUCUUUAUUUAUAUAUAUAUAUGUAUAUAUAUAAUGAAGUUGUAAAAUUCUCAAAAUGGAAACCAAUUAUUAACAUUAGACCCUUGUUUGUGAUAGAAGGGGAAAAAUGAUCAAUUACAUAUAAAUUACAAGUGUUGUAAAAUGUUUUUAUUUUAAGUACAUGUAAAUUGAUUUUCAAUAUUGUUAAUUUUUUUUUCUUUUUACAAUAUAGGAAGUGAGAGGAUUGAAUUUAACGUAAUUAAAGUUUCUUUAACAAAAGGAGUAAAUAUGGAAAAAAAAACCCCUUUUUUUCUUUUUUUUUUUUUGAUUUAUAAUUUUGGACAUAUAAUAUCAAAAAGUGCUUUGAAAAUAGAGUAGGAAAAAAUAGUAACUAAACGUUAGUUCACAAAUAACCAACCCUUUAGUAAUCUUGGUUAAUUAGUCGUUUAUUAAUUUAAAAUAAGUGUAUAUAUAUAUAGGGUUGAGCGUUGUAAAAGUAACAAAAAAAAAACCCUAAUAGAGUCUAUGUCAUUGUAUUUUCUAAAUUGCAAGAGUAGUAAAUUUAAAAGUCGAUAAACCUAUAAUUACCAUCUGAUAGUCCUUCAGUAAUCCUAUAAUUACCGUCUAGUAUCACCAAUUUUGUCAUAUUCGUAGUGUGGAAAAAAAAAGUGUUAUGGAUUGUUUUUUUUCUAAAUGUUUUUAUUAUUUGAUACAAUUUUGUAUGUGUAUGUAUAUGAUUCAAUAUGGUAUGUAUAUCGUUAUCGGUUGGCAAUGCUAUUCAAUGAAAAAGAGUUAUUAGUAUAGAAUCAAUAUAACCAUUGUGAUUAAAUUGACGAUAAUGAUGUAUUAGUAGAAAUUGAUUACAUUCACCAUCUUUGAUUCAAAACAAGAAAAAAACUAUUUGAAUAAUCAUAUUUUAGAGCAAAGAAUCCAACUUUAGAAAGAUGUCAAACAACGAUAAAUAGUAUUAUAAGUUCAGUGUGGACCUUCGUAUUCAUUAUUAUUUACACCAAAAUGCCUCUUUCAUGUAGUGUGUUAGUAAGAUAUUUAUUUAAAUGGUGUGUCUUUAAAACUUUAAUUCCAAAUUUAGAUACUUUUUGGUUGGUGGUGAGAGUAGUUUUCAACUUAUACCAUUUUCCAUUUUCUUAUAUGAACUUAUACCCAUUGGUGUAAUGAUGUAUAUAACAAGUGUCAAUGGGAUGGGAUGGGGACAAUGUUAGGCUAACUUUUUAUCUGUUGAAAUUUCUCUUCUUCCCACUAAAAUUUGUGGUUGAAAAACUUAUGAUGGUGGAGAACUUUAUGAGAAUGACUUCUUUACUCCUUUUCUUUUUAUUUGAAUUAUAUACAAACUAUCUUUUAACUUUUUAA